UCUGGUUGAUCCUGCCAGUAGUCAUAUGCUUGUCUUAAAGAUUAAGCCAUGCAUGUCUAAGUAUAAACACUUUGUACUUGUGAAACUGCGAAUGGCUCAUUAAAUCAGUUAUAAUUUAUUCGAUGGUCCUUUACAACUUGGAUAACCGUGGUAAAUCUAGAGCUAAUACAUGCACAAAAUCCUGACUGCUUUCGGGUAGGAGGGAUGUAUUUAUUAGAUUCAAAAGCCAAUGCCAUUCUUCGGAGUGGAAAUUUUUUAUAUGGUGAAUCAUGAUAACUUUACGAAUCGCAUAGUCUUGUACUGGCGAUAGUUCAUUCAAAUAUCUGCCCUAUCAACUUUCGAUGGUAGUAUAGAGGACUACCAUGGUGGUAACGGGUAACGGAGAAUCAGGGUUUGAUUCCGGAGAGGGAGCCUGAGAAACGGCUACUACUUCCAAGGAAGGCAGCAGGCGCGCAAAUUACCCAAUCCCGACACGGGGAGGUAGUGACAAAAAAUAACAAUACCGGUCUUAUUUAAGUCUGGUAAUUGGAAUGAGUACAAUCUAAAACCUUUAUCGAGUAUCAAUUGGAGGGCAAGUCUGGUGCCAGCAGCCGCGGUAAUUCCAGCUCCAAUAGCAUAUAUUAAAGUUGUUGCAGUUAAAAAGCUCGUAGUUGGAUUUUGAUGAUACUUUUCAUAACCUGCCUUGUAUAAGGUAUGUUUGUUGUGAAUCGUACAUCUCCUUACUAGACUUUCAUGGUUGUACUUAAUUGAAUGACCAUUUCAUCUUGAUUCGUUAGGGUGAGUGAUGAGUAGACCUAUUGGAUUCGAGAUUGUGGAUGAAUUUCUUCGGAGAUUGGUUCUGCUUGGAUUCAAUAACUAUUUAUUAGAAAUCUAGUUCAUUUACUUUGAGUAAAUUAGAGUGUUCAAGGCAAGCAAAUUUGUUUCUGCAAUGAAUACUAUUAGCAUGGGAUAAUGGAACAGGACACGUAUUCUAGUUUUCCGUUGGUUUCUAGAAUUUUUAGUCGCUCCUUGGAGUGGCGAAGUGUAAUGAUUAAAAGGGACAGUUGGGGGCAUUCGUAUUUCAUUGUCAGAGGUGAAAUUCUUGGAUUUAUGAAAGACGAACUUCUGCGAAAGCAUUUGUCAAAGAUGUUUUCAUUAAUCAAGAACGAAAGUUAGGGGAUCGAAGACGAUCAGAUACCGUCGUAGUCUUAACCAUAAACUAUGCCGACCAGGGAUUGGAAGAUGU
RNAcentral lists this ribosomal RNA (1225 nucleotides) under metagenome. Its description in RNAcentral is "SSU rRNA". It matches the Rfam family "Eukaryotic small subunit ribosomal RNA", at positions 1 to 1063 of the family's 1831-position model. The record is from RNAcentral.